Oreochromis aureus is the source of this 1136-nucleotide long non-coding RNA. Lineage: Eukaryota; Metazoa; Chordata; Actinopteri; Cichliformes; Cichlidae. The record is from Ensembl.
CUUGCUGAUACAUUGGUAAGUACAAUUUAAAAUUUUUAAUAGAGUUUUCUUGUUGUUUAGCCACCACCAUUUGCCUCAGUUCAGUAAAACAGUUAAUAGUUAUAUGUGAAAUACAUUUUGUGUGUGUGUCUGCGUCCUCGAGUGCGUGUGUUUGUUUGUUUGUUUCAGCCAUGGGAACUUCAACAUGAAAGCAGUCCUUUACAGAAAGCAGCAGAAUAUGAGAAGGGUGCUGGGGAUCUUGUGCUUGCUAAUGAAGUACAACAGGUAGAAAACUAUUUUAUUAGUAAAACAGUGCAGCAGACAAUCUCCACCGCCUUUACUUUGCAAUUAGAUAACGAUUCACUGUUUGCUGAGCCCCCAGAAGAACCUGUGUUAGUAAUUUAAACAUUUGAAUCCAAUUAACCGCCAUCUUGUUUUAUACAAGACAUCAUGCAAUCAUGAGAGAAGUAUAUAUACCUUUAAAAAAAAAAAAAAAGUUUCCCUUUUUUUUUAGAGACACCAAUUUGCAGGCACAUGGAAUUAUUGCAAAUUUGGCACUGGAACUUGACCACAAGAAGGUCAGCAGGUUCAAUAUAUCAAGGUCAGCUGUAUGGGAUGGAGCUGUUAGAGGAUUUCGACGCAGCACAUACUCUGACAACUACGACAUGUUCAUCAAGUUUAAUGAUGAUGCUGGCAGCUUUGAAGAAGGUUUGGAUACAGGUGGCCCGGUGAAUUCCUCACACUUCUUAUGGGCAGUCUGCGAAAUCGCCCCAUCUUUGAUGGACCUCCAGAGAGCCGUUAUCUUGUAUAUAAUUCAAGAGCUGCCAGGCAAGAUGAGUACUUUUUAGCAGGAAAGAUGAUCGCUGUAUCCAUUGUGCAUGGGGGACCAGCACCACAUUUCCUCUCCAAGAACCUGGUCAACCACAUCACAGGGAAUCAGAGUUUCAGCGCCACUGUAGAAGAUGUGCAAGAUGAGGAGAUCACAAAAAUUUUACAUCAGGUCCUGAAAGCUGAAUCAGAGGAGUCUUUGCAUAAUCUUAUUUUGCAAAACAGCACAAUCUUCAAACUGCUGGAUGCCUCAGAAACGUCAAGCCUUUUGAGAAACAAGCAUUUGUGGAGGAGUACCUCAGAUGGUACAUCCUUGAAAGAAACCAAAG